AUACACUGACGUCAUGCUCGAAAGCGUGGGUAGCAAACAGGAUUAGAUACCUGGUAGUCACGCCCUAAACGAUGUCAUUAGCUGUUGGGCAACUUGAUUGCUUAGUAGCGUAGCUAACGCGUGAAAUUGACCGCGUGGGGAGUACGGUCGCAAGAUUAAAACUCAAAGGAAUUGACGGGGACCCGCACAAGCGGUGGAUGAUGUGGAUUAAUUCGAUGCAACGCGAAGAACCUUACCUGGUCUUGACAUGUACGGAAUCCUCCAGAGACGGAGGAGUGCUUUCGGGAGCCGUAACACAGGUGCUGCAUGGCUGUCGUCAGCUCGUGUCGUGAGAUGUUGGGUUAAGUCCCGCAACGAGCGCAACCCUUGUCAUUAGUUGCCAUCAUUAAGUUGGGCACUCUAAUGAGACUGCCGGUGACAAGCCGGAGGAAGGUGGGGAUGACGUCAAGUCCUCAUGGCCCUUAUGACCAGGGCUUCACACGUCAUACAAUGGUCGGUACAGAGGGUAGCCAAGCCGCGAGGUGGAGCCAAUCUCACAAAACCGAUCGUAGUCCGGAUUGCACUCUGCAACUCGAGUGCAUGAAGUCGGAAUCGCUAGUAAUCGCAGGUCAGCAUACUGCGGUGAAUACGUUCCCGGGUCUUGUACACACCGCCCGUCACACCAUGGGAGUGGGGGAUACCAGAAGUAGGUAGGGUAACCGCAAGGAGCCCGCUUACCACGGUAUGCUUCAUGACUGGGGUGAAGUCGUAACAAGGUAACCAAGGGCGAAUUCUG
RNAcentral lists this ribosomal RNA (775 nucleotides) under uncultured Neisseria sp. Its description in RNAcentral is "bacterial SSU rRNA". It matches the Rfam family "Bacterial small subunit ribosomal RNA", at positions 735 to 1515 of the family's 1533-position model. The record is from RNAcentral. Lineage: Bacteria; Pseudomonadati; Pseudomonadota; Betaproteobacteria; Neisseriales; Neisseriaceae.